CAGCCGCCGCGGUAACACGAAGGGUGCAAGCGUUAAUCGGAAUUACUGGGCGUAAAGCGUGCGUAGGCGGUUUGUUAAGUCUGCUGUGAAAUCCCCGGGCUCAACCUGGGAAUGGCAGUGGAUACUGGCGAGCUAGAGUGUGUCAGAGGAUGGUGGAAUUCCCGGUGUAGCGGUGAAAUGCGUAGAGAUCGGGAGGAACAUCAGUGGCGAAGGCGGCCCCCUGGACAAAGACUGACGCUCAGGCGCGAAAGCGUGGGGAGCAAACAGGAUUAGAUACCCCCGUAGUCCCUGUCUCUUAUAC
Molecule: ribosomal RNA, 301 nt
Filed under: uncultured bacterium
Lineage: Bacteria
Description: partial 16S ribosomal RNA
Rfam family: Bacterial small subunit ribosomal RNA
Source: RNAcentral